RNAcentral lists this ribosomal RNA (550 nucleotides) under uncultured Lasiosphaeriaceae. RNAcentral describes it as "eukaryotic LSU rRNA". The stretch from base 176 to 329 matches the Rfam family "5.8S ribosomal RNA". The record is from RNAcentral. Lineage: Eukaryota; Fungi; Ascomycota; Sordariomycetes; Sordariales; Lasiosphaeriaceae. RNAcentral also lists the same sequence under 1 other name.
GGUGAACCUGCGGAGGGAUCAUUACAGAGUUGCAAAACUCCCAACCCUUUGUGAACAAACCUGACAGUUGCUUCGGCGGUAGACCCUUCUGGGGCUAGCCUUCGCGGGUAGUCCGCCGAAGUCCUAUAAACUCUUGAUUAUUUUGGUAUCUCUGAGUAGCUUAUAAAUAAGUUAAAACUUUCAACAACGGAUCUCUUGGUUCUGGCAUCGAUGAAGAACGCAGCGAAAUGCGAUAAGUAAUGUGAAUUGCAGAAUUCAGUGAAUCAUCGAAUCUUUGAACGCACAUUGCGCCCUUUGGUAUUCCGAGGGGCAUGCCUGUUCGAGCGUCAUUUCAACCCUCAAGCUUCGGCUUGGUAUUGGGCUUCUCGUCCCUUAACCUGGACGUGCCCGAAACUCAUUGGCGGUGGCCCUCAGCUCCCUAGCGUAGUUAUACAUUCCGUUACGAGACUUGAGAGUGACCUGCCCAAUAACCCCAUUUUAUUUACUGAAGUUUGACCUCGGAUCAGGUAGGGAUACCCGCUGAACUUAAGCAUAUCAAUAAGCGGAGGAA